This 242-nucleotide ribosomal RNA is filed under the name uncultured bacterium. RNAcentral describes it as "partial 16S ribosomal RNA". It matches the Rfam family "Bacterial small subunit ribosomal RNA", at positions 92 to 334 of the family's 1533-position model. The record is from RNAcentral.
CGACCGGCGCACGGGUGAGUAACGCGUAUCCAACCUGCCUUACACUCUUGGACAGCCUUCUGAAAGGGAGAUUAAUACAAGAUGUUAUCAUGAGUAGGCAUUUUCACAUGAUUAAAGGUUUACCGGUGUAAGAUGGGGAUGCGUUCCAUUAGAUAGUAGGCGGGGUAACGGCCCACCUAGUCUUCGAUGGAUAGGGGUUCUGAGAGGAAGGUCCCCCACAUUGGAACUGAGACACGGUCCAA